RNAcentral lists this long non-coding RNA (814 nucleotides) under Junco hyemalis (dark-eyed junco). RNAcentral describes it as "lncRNA (ENSJHYG00000012520.1)". Lineage: Eukaryota; Metazoa; Chordata; Aves; Passeriformes; Passerellidae. The record is from RNAcentral.
UUCUUGUUGAGCGCUCAGGACCAAGACCUGUGGUUGUUACUUGUUAAAAUCACAGGGUUGUUUGCAAGUUAAUGCAUUACCUUUGUGGGGACAAGCCAGUGCCAUCUGUGAAGGUCUGUAGGAGCUGUGGUUGGGUCCUGCCCCAGCACAGUUUUCACAUGCUGCUUCUCCUGCCUUCAGACAAGUUCUUCUUUGUCACAGUGUUUGGCAUGCACUGAAAUUUCUACAGGAAUUGGAAGGCUGCCUGGCUGUUCAGUUCAGGAGAAGGAAGUUGAGUUACUGCCCCUGACAGACAUCUCUGUCAACUCUUCAGGAUGUCAAUGCUGAAAUCAAAGACUGCAAGUGCAUCCUACCUAGACUGCUCAAGUGACAAGUGACAGGCUGAUGCUAAAGUGACUGCAGUGUCAGCUGCUGAGAGCCUCCGGCAAUGUGCAGCAGGGCUGAAAAAAAGAAUAACUUCCAAAGGAACCACAGCACAGCAUGGAAAAACAUGCCAGCAAUUGCACAGGAUGCAGUCUGGGUCGAUGCUGUAUCUUUAUGUGCUUGUCUGUCUGCUCAGUGUGGACACAUUUCCGCAUGCUGCACCAAUUCCUGUGCAUCUGUACCUCCUGAAGGGCACUGCCAGCAGGAAUUCUCCUCCUUCAGUCCUUGUGCCUGCCUGUGCUCAGAUCCUCUCGCCCACAGUUGCUGCCAAGCCCUAUCUGUGACCUCAGCCCAGCGAGCGCCUGCGUGGGCACAGCUUUGCACUUCUGGUGCUUCAGUGGCGUGUGAUGCUCACUGCCUUAUGCUCCAGUGGCUGAGAUCUGAUCUCUGA